ACGGGAGGCAGCAGUGGGGAAUAUUGCACAAUGGGGGAAACCCUGAUGCAGCGAUGCCGCGUGAAGGAAGAAGUUCUUCGGAAUGUAAACUUCUAUCAGCAAGGAAGAAAACGGACAGUACUUGACUAAGAAGCCCCGGCUAACUACGUGCCAGCAGCCGCGGUAAUACGUAGGGGGCAAGCGUUAUCCGGAUUUACUGGGUGUAAAGGGAGCGCAGGCGGUAACGCAAGCCAGAGGUGAAAACCCGGGGCUCAACCCCGAGGAUUGCCUUUGGAACUGUGGAACUGGAGUGCUGGAGGGGCAGGCGGAAUUCCUGGUGUAGCGGUGAAAUGCGUAGAUAUCAGGAGGAACACCGGUGGCGAAGGCGGCCUGCUGGACAGUAACUGACGCUGAGGCUCGAAAGCGUGGGGAGCAAACAGGAUUAGAUACCCUGGUA
This 436-nucleotide ribosomal RNA is filed under the name uncultured Lachnospiraceae bacterium. RNAcentral's name for it is "partial 16S ribosomal RNA". It matches the Rfam family "Bacterial small subunit ribosomal RNA", at positions 341 to 792 of the family's 1533-position model. Lineage: Bacteria; Bacillati; Bacillota; Clostridia; Lachnospirales; Lachnospiraceae. The record is from RNAcentral.